Macrobrachium nipponense is the source of this 2254-nucleotide long non-coding RNA. RefSeq lists it as uncharacterized. The transcript has 4 exons. Lineage: Eukaryota; Metazoa; Arthropoda; Malacostraca; Decapoda; Palaemonidae. The record is from RefSeq and is a predicted model, not a curated record.
GUUUACAUUAAUGCACGUGUUGACGUUUGUGAGUGUUUCAAUUAGCGAUUUGGAUUAUCUAUAAGAUGGGAUAACCUAUAAUAACCGUGGGUGCCGGCAGUCCGGAGUGUUCUACUUGCCCCGACUUCUUCAAUCAAAUACCUGAACGUGAGCAAACCUGGCGAGUACAAACUGUUGCCAAGUCUUAAACUAAAAUUGUCUGUAUUCUGUGGCCCACUGUGCCAAACUCGCUGUGAGAGUCACGCUUCAAUAUACCGAUUUCCAAAUCGCGACCAAUAAGGAAAAAUUGCGGAGUGGACCAUCCCAUUUGAAGGCAUGAACUAGGAAGCAAUAUAAUCAUCUGCCAGUUGGGAGGAAAAAGAUAUUUCUGUAAAAGGUUUCUGCUAAACAGUGGGCCAGGCCUAUGGAGUGCAGGAUUAACAAACGUGGUGCUUCCAAAGAUUGAUAAGGGUUUAAUUUAUUGUCAUCUUUUAUCAGUGCUGAAAGAGCACAGGGAGAGUAAGCUAUGAAGAAAUUAAUUAGUACUUGGGUACAGUAAUUCAAUAAAUAUUUAUAUGGUCAAAAUACAAUAUGUGUCAAGUCGUGUCAAGUCGUGUCAAGAAAAAUGCAAGCUCCUGGCAGUCGGGUUCUUCGUUUUACAAGACCAUCUUUGCUUCACAGAAUGGCAUUAUUCAGUAGCAUUGCUGAGAAGAGGUCCCUCAUAAGUGCAUAAAGAUUCUUUAACUACAGGUUUAGUGCUUCAGAAUCAAAAUGAAGAUACUCAGAACCAUCAGAUAAAGCAGGCUACUUUGAUGAUAUUAUCACUGAACAAAAACUACAGCAAGCCUUGUUGACAAAACUAGUUUGUCAAGAAGUUAGAAAUACCAGGUGAAUUCAACUGUAUGCCAAUUGUCACACCAUAAAACUACUUUAAUCGUCCUGUUAGAUUCGAGAUGAUGGCAGACAAGGUCAAUUUAUAGUAGUGUGUAUCACCAUAUCUCAUAGCAUAGAUAAAUUAUGCAACAAGUGGUUUCAUGGAUAAUAUUGUCUUUGCAAUCAAAGAAUUUUGAACAAGGGUAAGUUUCCUCCUUUAGCAAGUACCAUAUUUGAUGGCUUUGGUCAAUGUGGAAGGACCAGUUACCGAACAUGAGAAAAUUUAGAUUAUACACGUAGUUUUCCUUCCGAAGAAUUAAAACUAUUGCAGGAAUCUGUAUGGGUGCACAGCUAGUUAUUGAUAUUGAUAUGAUGUUAAAAUCACAAGAUCAAGCACAUAAAGAAAACUUCAAAAUGCUAGGAAUCAAGCAUUGACCCUCUGUGUAAUGCCUCCAUCUCAUUUUCAUCAAUGUUCUUUUUAGUAAUAUAUCAUUCACACAUUGCUAAGCAGUUACAACACUACUAUUUCCGAAGUUAAUGAUUAAACAGGUUGAAGAGGUUCUGUAGCUUAAUCAAAAUGCUUAAUGAUCUACAGCCUUGGAAGCAAUAGGGCCUUACAUGCACUCAGUAAUAUGCUCCUGCUACACUAAUGCAAAGAACAAAUGCUAGAUAAUGAGUGAAGACAUUGGCUAGUGUACCAAAAAAAAUUAAGUGUCAAAAGUAGCAAAGCCAAGACAAACAGCUGCUUAUCACAGUAAUCAGGGAAGCUAGAAAUGCAUGAGAAAGGAAGUGACCGAGGGUUGCUUCAGGCAGAUUACCUACUCACAGAAGAGUCUGAAGAAGUGGUGGUUGAAAUGUUUAAAAGGUGAAAGUGGAAUGGAAAGCAAAGGAUUGAAAAGCAAUAAAAAAAAUUAUGGCAACUGGAAAGGCUGCAAAGGAAGUAAAACCAGGUUACUGUAGAAAAGAUCUGUCUGGAAACUCUACUGGGGACUGAAAAUAACAUGUAAUCCAGAGCACCCCUUGUGAUACAGUACAGUAUACACAGAGCAAGAGAUUUUGGAAGACGCGUACAACAUCAAAUUGAUCAAUGAGGAAAGGGUGAAUUCUGAUGUGUUGUGACAGAUGGGGAGGUCUGAAGUAGUAGAGCAUUGCCCCAUUAACUGAAGCCAAGAUGUACGAGUGGGCACCAGAGGCAAGAAAUACCUGCAGACAGGGGCACUGACAGAAAAUAGAAAUCAAUCUUGCAGAAGUGUUACCAUAAAAUGAUAAACUUCAUGGCCAACAUGCUCAAGAAGCUGUUAUUUAAAAAUCCUGGAAAAAGAGGCUAGAUGAAGAACAAACUUUGAUGGGAGGUUAAGAAAAGUUUACGUGAUGCAGAAGAAGAAAAAAAAAAUAAGAUAAA